Molecule: unclassified non-coding RNA, 296 nt
Filed under: rhizosphere metagenome
Description: partial ribosomal RNA internal transcribed spacer region
Source: RNAcentral
GUAGGUGAACCUGCGGAAGGAUCAUUAUUGAAACUUGAAUCGUAGCAUUGAGAACUGUUGCUGACCUGUUAAAGGGUAUGUGCACGUUCGACGUGUUGCGUUCUAUUCAUCCACCUGUGCACCUUUGUAGACUUGAUUAACUUUCGCUCUCGAGCGGUUAGAAGGGUUGCUUUCGAGCUCCCUUUGUCUGUCAAGUCUAUGUCUAUAUAAUCUCUUGUAUGUCUAGAAUGUCUUGUUUAUGGGACGCAAGUCCUUUAAAUCUUAUACAACUUUCAACAACGGAUCUCUUGGCUCUC